Molecule: transfer RNA, 65 nt
Filed under: Chrysomeloidea sp. 5 KM-2017
Lineage: Eukaryota; Metazoa; Arthropoda; Insecta; Coleoptera
Description: tRNA-Thr
Rfam family: tRNA
About the family: Transfer RNA (tRNA) molecules are approximately 80 nucleotides in length.
Source: RNAcentral
GUUUCAAUAGUUUAAGUAAAACAUUGGUCUUGUAAACCAAAGAUAAGAAUAAUUCUUUUUAAACA